Molecule: non-coding RNA, 112 nt
Filed under: Chloropicon mariensis
Lineage: Eukaryota; Viridiplantae; Chlorophyta; Chloropicophyceae; Chloropicales; Chloropicaceae
Source: RNAcentral
AAGAAGGGAGAGGGAAGAGAGGGGAAAAGAAAGGAAAUUAGAGUUGCCUUUUUCUUUUGUUUCUCUUUUUUUCAACCCUUUUUUUCUUGUGUUUUCUUGUGUUUUCUUUGUU